This 230-nucleotide ribosomal RNA is filed under the name uncultured bacterium. RNAcentral's name for it is "partial 16S ribosomal RNA". It matches the Rfam family "Bacterial small subunit ribosomal RNA", at positions 563 to 791 of the family's 1533-position model. The record is from RNAcentral.
AAGCGUGCGUAGGCGGCUUUUUAAGUCGGAUGUGAAAUCCCCGAGCUUAACUUGGGAAUUGCAUUCGAUACUGGGAAGCUAGAGUAUGGGGAGAGGAUGGUAGAAUUCCAGGUGUAGCGGUGAAAUGCGUAGAGAUCUGGAGGAAUACCGAUGGCGAAGGCAGCCAUCUGGCCUAAUACUGACGCUGAGGUACGAAAGCAUGGGGAGCAAACAGGAUUAGAUACCCUUGU